This 293-nucleotide ribosomal RNA is filed under the name Staphylococcus hominis. RNAcentral's name for it is "partial 23S ribosomal RNA". It matches the Rfam family "Bacterial large subunit ribosomal RNA", at positions 179 to 467 of the family's 2925-position model. The record is from RNAcentral. Lineage: Bacteria; Bacillati; Bacillota; Bacilli; Caryophanales; Staphylococcaceae.
GCAGACCCGGAGAACUGAAACAUCUUAGUACCCGGAGGAAGAGAAAGAAAAUUCGAUUCCCUGAGUAGCGGCGAGCGAAACGGGAAGAGCCCAAACCAAUAAGCUUGCUUAUUGGGGUUGUAGGACACUCUAUACGGAGUUACAAAAGAAUAUAUUAAACGAAUCAUCUGGAAAGUUGAAUCAAAGAAGGUAAUAAUCCUGUAGUUGAAAAUAUAUUCUCUCUUGAGUGGAUCCUGAGUACGACGGAGCACGUGAAAUUCCGUCGGAAUCUGGGAGGACCAUCUCCUAAGGCU